This 253-nucleotide ribosomal RNA is filed under the name uncultured bacterium. RNAcentral's name for it is "partial 16S ribosomal RNA". It matches the Rfam family "Bacterial small subunit ribosomal RNA", at positions 524 to 776 of the family's 1533-position model. The record is from RNAcentral.
UACGUAGGGUGCGAGCGUUAAUCGGAAUUACUGGGCGUAAAGCGUACGCAGGCGGCUUUGCAAGACAGGUGUGAAAUCCCCGGGCCUAACCUGGGAACUGCAUUCGAGACUGCAUUGCUAGAGUAUGGGAGAGGGAAGUGGAAUUUCCGGUGUAGCGGUGAAAUGCGUAGAUAUCGGAAGGAACAUCAGUGGCGAAAGCGACUUCCUGGACCAAUACUGACGCUCAUGUGCGAAAGCGUGGGGAGCAAACAGG